UCUCCGUUGGUGAACCAGCGGAGGGAUCAUUACAGGACUCGCAAGACUCCUACAACCCUGUGAACUUAACUAUAAGCACGUUGCUUCGGCGGGUGUCUCGGAGGGGGUUCUCCCUCCCCGAGACGCUAAACCCGCCGGCAGCCUACUAUACUCUGUCUCUUUGCGUUGGCAUCUCGAGUACAAUCAAACAAGUUAAAACUUUCAACAACGGAUCUCUCGGUUCUG
This 225-nucleotide unclassified non-coding RNA is filed under the name plant metagenome. RNAcentral's name for it is "partial contains small subunit ribosomal RNA, internal transcribed spacer 1, and 5.8S ribosomal RNA". The record is from RNAcentral.